This 262-nucleotide ribosomal RNA is filed under the name uncultured Staphylococcus sp. Its description in RNAcentral is "partial 16S ribosomal RNA". It matches the Rfam family "Bacterial small subunit ribosomal RNA", at positions 99 to 351 of the family's 1533-position model. The record is from RNAcentral. Lineage: Bacteria; Bacillati; Bacillota; Bacilli; Caryophanales; Staphylococcaceae.
CGGACGGGUGAGUAACACGUGGAUAACCUACCUAUAAGACUGGGAUAACUUCGGGAAACCGGAGCUAAUACCGGAUAAUAUAUUGAACCGCAUGGUUCAAUGGUGAAAGACGGUUUUGCUGUCACUUAUAGAUGGAUCCGCGCCGCAUUAGCUAGUUGGUAAGGUAACGGCUUACCAAGGCAACGAUGCGUAGCCGACCUGAGAGGGUGAUCGGCCACGCUGGAACUGAGACACGGUCCAGACUCCUACGGGAGGCAGAGCG